RNAcentral lists this microRNA precursor (84 nucleotides) under Bombyx mori (domestic silkworm). Its description in RNAcentral is "mir-2807 microRNA precursor family". It matches the Rfam family "mir-2807 microRNA precursor family". Lineage: Eukaryota; Metazoa; Arthropoda; Insecta; Lepidoptera; Bombycidae. The record is from Rfam by way of RNAcentral.
GUAACUUAAAUUUUUAUGGAGUUGGCACAGCGCCCCUAGCGGCAAACGUAGGUAAACGUUCCAACUCCAUACAAAUUUGAGUUA